This 406-nucleotide ribosomal RNA is filed under the name uncultured bacterium. RNAcentral's name for it is "partial 16S ribosomal RNA". It matches the Rfam family "Bacterial small subunit ribosomal RNA", at positions 29 to 526 of the family's 1533-position model. The record is from RNAcentral.
AUUGAACGCUGGCGGCAGGCCUAACACAUGCAAGUCGAGCGAGCGGCGGACGGGUGAGUAAUGUCUGGGAAACUGCCUGAUGGAGGGGGAUAACUACUGGAAACGGUAGCUAAUACCGCAUACCAUCAGAUGUGCCCAGAUGGGAUUGGCUAGUAGGUGGGGUAACGGCUAACCUAGGCGACGAUCCCUAGCUGGUCUGAGAGGAUGACCAGCAACGCGGGAACUGAGACACGGUCCAAACUCCUACGUGAGGCAGCAGUGGGGAUGAUGGCACAAUGGGCGCAAGCCUGAUGCAGCCAUGCGGCGUGUGGGAAGAAGGCCUUCGGGUUGUAAAGCACUUUCAGCGGGGAGGCGUUACCCGCAGAAGAAGCACCGGCUAACGCCGUGCCAGCAGCCGCGGUAAUUC